RNAcentral lists this ribosomal RNA (409 nucleotides) under bacterium. RNAcentral describes it as "partial 16S ribosomal RNA". It matches the Rfam family "Bacterial small subunit ribosomal RNA", at positions 355 to 776 of the family's 1533-position model. The record is from RNAcentral.
UGGGGAAUAUUGCACAAUGGGCGAAAGCCUGAUGCAGCGACGCCGCGUGAGGGAUGACGGCCUUCGGGUUGUAAACCUCUUUCAGUAGGGACGAAGCGCAAGUGACGGUACCUGCAGAAGAAGCACCGGCUAAGUACGUGCCAGCAACCGCGGUAAUACGUAGGGUGCGAGCGUUGUCCGGAAUUACUGGGCGUAAAGAGCUCGUAGGCGGUUUGUCACGUCGCCUGUGAAAUCCUAGGGCUUAACCCUGGACGUGCAGGCGAUACGGGCUGGCUGGAGUACUACAGGGGAGGCUGGGAUUUCUGGUGUAGCGGUGGAAUGCACAGGUGUCAGGAAGAACAACGACGGCGGAGGCAGGUGUCUGGGUAGUAACUGACGCUGAGGAGCGAAAGCAUGGGUAGCGAAGAGG